This 538-nucleotide ribosomal RNA is filed under the name Parathielavia hyrcaniae. RNAcentral describes it as "eukaryotic LSU rRNA". The stretch from base 195 to 348 matches the Rfam family "5.8S ribosomal RNA". Lineage: Eukaryota; Fungi; Ascomycota; Sordariomycetes; Sordariales; Chaetomiaceae. The record is from RNAcentral.
UUUCCGAUGGGGGUACCUGCGGAGGGAUCAUUACAGAGUUGCAAGACUCCCUAAACCAUUGUGAACCUACCUUCUACCGUUGCUUCGGCGGGCGGGCCCAGCGCCCCCCCCGGCCCCCCGCGGGCGCCCGCCGGAGGAUACCCAAACUCUUGACAUUAGUGGCCUCUCUGAGUAUUCUUUACUGAAUAAGUCAAAACUUUCAACAACGGAUCUCUUGGUUCUGGCAUCGAUGAAGAACGCAGCGAAAUGCGAUAAGUAAUGUGAAUUGCAGAAUUCAGUGAAUCAUCGAAUCUUUGAACGCACAUUGCGCCCGCCAGUAUUCUGGCGGGCAUGCCUGUUCGAGCGUCAUUUCAACCAUCAAGCCCCCGGGCUUGUGUUGGGGACCUGCGGCUGCCCGCAGGCCCUGAAAACCAGUGGCGGGCUCGCUAGUCACACCGAGCGUAGUAGCAUACAUCUCGCUCAGGGCGUGCUGCGGGUUCCGGCCGUUAAACAGCCUCUGCGCUACACCCAAGGUGACCUCGGAUCAGUAGAACCGUCU